Molecule: transfer RNA, 67 nt
Filed under: Dentathalia scutellariae
Lineage: Eukaryota; Metazoa; Arthropoda; Insecta; Hymenoptera; Athaliidae
Description: tRNA-Thr
Source: RNAcentral
GUUUUAAUAGUUUAAAUAAAAUAUUGAUUUUGUAAAUCAAUGAAAAAAAUAUAAUUUUUUUAAAACU